This 471-nucleotide ribosomal RNA is filed under the name uncultured bacterium. Its description in RNAcentral is "bacterial SSU rRNA". It matches the Rfam family "Bacterial small subunit ribosomal RNA", at positions 202 to 693 of the family's 1533-position model. The record is from RNAcentral.
AAAGAUUUAUCGCCUUGGGAUAAGCCCGCGUCAGAUUAGGUAGUUGGUGGGGUAACGGCCUACCAAGCCUGCGAUCUGUAGCUGGUCUGAGAGGACGAUCAGCCACAUUGGGACUGAGACACGGCCCAAACUCCUACGGGAGGCAGCAGUGGGGAAUCUUGCGCAAUGGGCGAAAGCCUGACGCAGCCAUGCCGCGUGAAUGAUGAAGGUCUUAGGAUUGUAAAGUUCUUUAGCCUGUGACGAUGAUGACGGUAACAGGAGAAUAAGCCCCGGCUAACUUCGUGCCAGCAGCCGCGGUAAUACGAAGGGGGCUAGCGUUGUUCGGAAUUACUGGGCGUAAAGCGCGCGUAGGCGGUUUUACAAGCCAGAGGUGAAAUGCCUGAGCUUAACUUGGGAAUUGCCUUUGGAACUGUAUGACUUCUAGGACGAAAGAGGUGAGUGGAAUUCCCAGUGUAGAGGUGAAAUUCGUAA